Equus asinus (donkey) is the source of this 6041-nucleotide long non-coding RNA. Lineage: Eukaryota; Metazoa; Chordata; Mammalia; Perissodactyla; Equidae. The record is from Ensembl.
GGCGUGUCAAACAGGUGGUUCCGAUCAGUCCGGGAGGUGGUUCCGGCGUAUCCGGCACGUGGUCCUGGCACGUCUGAGAGGUGGUUCCGGCAUGCCCGGCAGGUGAUUCUUGAGUGUCCGCCAAGUGGUUCUUGCAUAGCCUGCUGGUGAUUUUGGCGGGACCGGCAGGUGGUUCCGGAGAGUUGAGCAGCUGGUUCCAGCGUGCUUGGAGGUGGUCAGGCGUGUCCUGCUAGUGGCUCCGGUCUGUCCAGGAGGUGGUUCUGGCAUGUCCAGCAUGUGGUUCUGGCACGUCUGAGAUGUGGUUCCAGCAUGCCCAGCAGGUGAUUCCGGAGAGUCCGCCAAGUGCAUCUGCUGUAGCCGGCAGGUGAUUUUGGCAUGUCCAGCAGGUGGUUCCGGCGAGUCGAGCAGGUGGUUCCGGCAUGCUCGCCAGCUGGUUCCAGCGUGUCCGGAAUGUGGUUUUGGCACGUCUGAGAGGUGGUUCUGGCAUGCCUGGCAUGUCUUUCCACACUGUCUGCCACGUGGUUCUGGCAUAGCCAGCAGGCGAUUUUGAUGUGUCCGGCAGGUGGUUCUGGUCUGUCUGGGAGGUGGUUCUGGCGUGUCCGGAACGUGUUUCAGGCAAGUUCGAGAGGUGGUUCUGUCAUGCUCAGCAAGUGGUUCAGGCGUUUCGUGCAGGCGGUUCCGUUCUGUCCUGUAGGUGGUUUCAGUGUGUCCUGCACAUGGAUCUGGCACGUCUGAGAGGUGGUUCCGGCAUGCCCGGCAGGUGAUCCCGGACUGUCCCCCAGAGGGUUUUGGCGUAGCCGGCAGGUGACUUUGGCGUGUCCAGCAGGUGGUUCUGGUGAGUCGAGCAGGUCAUUUCAGCGUGCUGGGCUUGUGGUUCAGGCGUGUCCGGCAGGUUGUUCCGGUAUGUCCGGGUGGUGGUUCCGGCGUGCUCGGCAGGUGGUUCGGGCGGGUCCGGCAGGUGGUUCAGGUCUGUCCGGGAUGUGUUUCUGGCGUCUCAGGAACAUGGUUCUGGCACACCUGAGAGGUGGUUCCGGCAUGCCCAACAGGUGAUUCCGGACUGUCCUGAACGUGGUUCUGGCAUAGCUGGCAUUUGAUUUUGACGUGUCUGUCAGGUGGUUCUGGCGAGUCAAGCAGGUGGCUCCGGCAUGCUCGGCAGGUGGAUCUGGCGUGUCCAUGAGGUGGUUCCAGUCUGUCUGGUACGUAGUUCUGGCCUGCUCGGCAGGUGGUUCAGGAAGGUCCCGCAGGUGGUUCCAGUCUGUCCUGUAAGUGCUUUGGCGUGUCCUGCACAUGGUUCUGGCACGUCUGAGAGGUGGUUCCAGCAUGCCCGGAAUGUGAUCCGGGACUGCCCCCACGUGGUUCUGGCAUAGCCAGCAGGUGAUUUUGGCGUGUCUGGCAGGUGGUUCUGGCGAGUCGAGCAGGUGGUUCCUGCGUGUCCGGCACGUGGUUCUGGCACGUCUGAGAGGUUGUGCCGGCAUGCCUGGCACGUGAUUCCGUCUUGUCCGCCUAGUUGUUCUGGAGUAGCUGGCAGGUGAUUUUGGCGUGUCCAGCAGGUGGGUCCUGCGAGUCAAGCAGGUGGUUCUGGCAUGCUCGGCAGGUGAUUCAGGCGUGUUCGGCAGGUGGCUCCAGUCUGUCCAGGACGUGGUUGCAGCGUGUCUGGCACGUGGUUCUAUUACAUCUGAGAGGUGUUUCCAUCAUGUUCGGCAGGUGCUUCCGGCGUCUCCGGCAUGUGCUUCUGGCACUUUUGAGAGGUGGUUCUGGCAUGCCUGGCAGGUGAUUCCGGAGUGUCCGACAAGUGGUUCUGGCGUAUCCGGCUGGUGAUUUUGCCGUGUCCGGUAGGUGGUUCCGGGGAGUCGAGUGGUUGUUCUGACGUGCUAGGCAGGUGGUUCCGGCUGGUCCAGCAGGUGGUUCCGGUCUGUCCGGGAGGUGGUUCUGGCAUGUCCAGCACAUGGUUCUGGCACGUCUGAGAGGUGGUUCCGGCAUGCCCGGCAGGUGAUCCCGAAGAGUCCUCCAAGUGGUUCUUGCAUAGCCGGGCAGUGAUUUUGGCGUGUCCGGCAGGUAGGUCUGGUGAGUCAAGCAGGUGAUUCCGGCAUGCUCAGCUGGUGGUUCAGUCAGGUACGGCAGGUGGUUCUGGUCUGUCUGGGAGAUGGUUCCAGCGUGUCUGGCACGUGGUUCCAGCACGUCGGGGAGGUGGCUCCAGCAAGGCCAUCAGUUGAUUCCAGAGAGUCCACCACGUGGUUCUGGCAUAGCCGGCAGGUGAUUUUGGCGUGUCCGGCAGGUGCUUCCGGCAAGUCGAGCAGGUGGCUCCGGAGUGCUCGGCAGGUGGUUACGGUGUGUCCGGCAGGUGGUUCCGGUCUGUCCAGUAGGUGGUUCCGUUGUGUUCGGCAUGUGGUUCUGGCACAUCUGAGAGGUGGUUCUGGCAUGCCCGGCAGGUAAUUCUGGAGUGUCCACCAAGUGGUUCUGGAGUAGCCGGCAGGUGAUUUUGGCGUGUCUGGCAGGUGGUUUUGGGGAGUGGAUCAGGUGGUUCCAGCAUACUCAGCAGGUGGUUCCGGCGUGUCCGGCACAUGGUUCUGACACGUCUGAGAGGUGGUUCCGGUAUGCCCGGCCGGUGAUCCCGGAGAGUCCUCCAAGUGUUUCUGGCGUAGCCAGCAGGUGAUUUUGGAGUGUCCAGCAAGUGAGUCUGGCAAUUCGAGCAGGUGGUUCCGGCGUGCUUGGCUGGUGGUUCAGUCAGGUAUGGCAGGUGGUUCUGGUCUGUCCGGGAGAUGGUUCCAGCGUGUCCGCCACGUGGUUCCAGCACGUCGGUGAGGUGGUUCCAGCAAGGCCAUCAGGUGAUUCCAGAGAUUCUGCCAAGUGGUUGUGGCGUAGCCGGCAGGUGAUUUUGGCAUGUCCGGCAGGUCGUUGCGGCGAGUCGAGCAGGUGGUUCCGGCAUGCUUGGCAGGUGCUUCCGGUAUCUUUUGCACGUGGUUCUGGCAUGUCUGAGAGCUGGUUUCGGCAUGCACGGCAGGUGGUUCCGGUCUGUCCGGCAGGUGGUUCAGGCAUGUCCGGCAGGCGUUUUUGCAUGUCUGGUGGUGCUUCCGGGGAGUCGAGGAGGUGGUUCCGGCGUGUCCGGCAGGUGGUUCUGGGGUGUCUGGCACAUGGUUCUGCCACGUCUCAGACGUUGUGCCAGCAUGCCCUUCACGUGAUUCCAGCUUGUCCACCAAGUGGUUCUGGAGUAGCCAGCAGGUGAUUUUGGCGUGUCCGGCAGGUGGGACCGGCGAGUCUGGCAGGUGGUUCCGGUCUGUCUGGGAGGUGGUUCCCGCAUGUCCAGCACGUGCUUCUGGCACGUCUGAGAGGUUGUGCUGGCAUGCCUGACAGGUGAUUCCGGAGUGUCCGACAAGUGGCUCUGGGGUAGCCUGCUGGUGAUUUUGGGGUCUCCGGCAGGUGGUUCCAGUGAGUCGAGCAGGAGGUUUCGGCGAGCUCGGCAGGUGUUUCCAGAAUCUCCAGCAUGUGUUUCUUGCACGUCUGAGAGGUGGUUCCGGCAUGCCCGUCAGGUGAUUCAGGAUUGUCCACCAAGUGGUUCUGGCAUAGCCGGCAGGUGAUUUUGGCAUGUCCGGCAGAUGGUUCUGUGGAGUGGAUCAGGUGGUUCCUGUGUGCUCGACAGGUGGUUCAGGAGGGUCCGGCAGGUCGUUCAGGUCUGUCUGGGAUGUGGUUCCGGUGUCUCAGGCACAUGGUUCUGGCACGUCUGAGAGGUGGUUUCGGCGAGCUCGGCAUGUGCUUCCAGCUUCUCCGGCACGUGGUUCUGGCACGUCUGAGAGGUGGUUCCAGCAUGCCUGGCAGGUGAUUCAGGAGUGUCUGGCAAGUUGCUCUGGCAUUACUGACAGGUGAUUUUGGCGUCUCCGGCAGGUGGGUCCUGCGAGUCGAGGAGGUGGUUCCGGCGUGCUUGGCAGGUGUUUCAGGCGUGUCCGGCACGUUGUUCCAGUCUGUCCAGAACGUGUUUCUGGCGUGUCUGGCACAUGGUUCGGGUAUGUCUGAGAGGUGGUUCUGGCAUGCCCGGGAGGUGAUUCCGGAGUGUGUGCCAAGUGGUUCUGGCGUAGUCGGCAGGUGAUUUUGGCGUGUUCGGCAGGUGGUUCUGGGGAGUGGAUCAGGUGGUUCAGGCAUGCUCGGCAGGUUGUUCAGGCAUUUCGGGCAGGUUGUUCCGGUCUGUCCUGUAGGUGCGUUUGGUGUGUCCCACACAUGGUUCUGGCAUAUCUGAGAGGUGGUUCCAGCAUGUCCGCCAGUUGAUCCCAGACUAUCCCCCAUGUGGUUCUGGCGUAGCAGGCAGGUUAUUUUGGCGUGUCCAGCAGGUGGUUCCGGUGAGUCGAGCAGGUCGUUCUGGCGAAUUGAGCAGGUGGUUCCGGCGUGCUCGGCAGGUGCUUCCUGCGUCACUGUUAUGUGGUUCUGGCAUGUCUGAGAGGUGGUGCAGGCAUGCCCUGCAGGUGAUUCCCGAGUGUCCGCCAAGUAGUUUUGGCAUAGCCAGCCGGUGAUUGUGGAGUGUCUGGCAGGUGUGUCCUGUGAGUCGAGCAGGUGGUUCCGGCGAGCUCGGCAGGUGCUUCCGGCAUCUUCGGCACGUGGUUCUGGCACGUUUGAGAGGUGGUUCUGGCAUUCCUGACAGGUGAUUCCGGAGUGUCUGGCAAGUGGUUCUGGCAUAGCCAGCAGGUGAUUUUGGCAUGUCCGGCAGGUGGUUCUGGUGAUUUGAGCAGGUGGUUCUAGCGAGCUUAGCAGGUGCUUCCGGCGUCUCCAACAGGUGGUUCCAGUCUGUCCGAGAGGUGGUUCCGUCAUGCUGGGAAGGUGCUUCCGGCAUCUCCGACACAUGCUUCUAGCAUGUCUGAGAGGUGGUUCGGGCAUGCCCGGCGGGUGAUGCCACAGUUUCCGACAAGUGGUUCUGGUGUAGCCGGCAGGUGAUUUUGGCGUGUCCGGCAGGUGGGUCCUGUGAGUCGAGCAGGUGGUUCUGGCAUGCUCGGCAGGUGGUUGAGGCGUGUCCGGCAGAUGGUUCCAGUCUCUCCAGGAUGUGGUUCCAGCGUGUCCGGCACAUGGUUCUGGUAUGUCUGAGAGGUUGUUCCGGCCAGCCCGGCAGGUGACUCCGGACUGUCCAACACGUGAUUCUAGCAUAGCCGGCAGGUGAUUUUGGCGUGUCCGGGAGGUGAUUCCGGUGAUUCGAGCUGGUGGUUCUGGCGUACUCGGCAUGUGGUUACAGUCUGUUCGGGAGGUGGUUCCGGCGUGUCAGGCAUGCAGUUGUGGCAUGUUUGAAGGGGGUACCUGCAUGCCCGCAGGUGAUUCUAGAGUGUCCUCCAAGUGGUUCUGGCAUAGCUGGCAGGUGAUUUUGGUGUGUCCGGCAGGUGGUUCUGCCGAGUUGAGCAGGUGGUUGUGCUGUGCUCGGCAGGUGGUUCCGGCAUGUCCUGCAGGUGGUGCUGGUCUGUCCGGGAGCUGGUUCCGGCAUGUCCGGCACGUGGUUCUGGCACGUCUGAGAGCUGGUUCAGGCAUGCCCGGCAGGUGAUUCCUGGGUGUCCGCCAAGUGGUUCUGGCAUCACCGGCAGGUUAUUUUGGUGUGUCUGGCAGGUCUUUCCUACUUUUUGGGCUCGUGGCUCUGGCUUGUAAGACAGGUAUUUGUGGCAUUUCUGGCCCCCGGUUCUGACAUACUCCACAGGUGGUUUCAGUGUUUCUGGCACCUGUUUGUGGCAUAUCCAACAGGUGUUUCCAAUGUGUCUGGCAUGUGGUUGUGCUUCGUUUGGAAUCUGGUUCCAUCGUGUCUGUUGUGUGCGGCUGGCAUGUUGAAGAGAGGGUUCUGCAGUGUCAGAAUCGUUGUUCCACUGUGUCCGGCAGGUGGUUACAGGUGGUUCUGGCAUGCAACGUGGGUGCUUCUGGUGUGCCUGUUGUGUCAUUCUGGCAUGAAUGUGUGGUUGUUUGAGAGUGUGGGCAGGGUGUUUUUGGCAUGUCUCUGGGGGUUUUCUGGCAUCUAAGGGGCUUGAUUCCUUUUUAUACAUCAGGUGAGUUUGUUCUCAGCUUCCUAAAGAGAUGAAAGAAAGAUG